UGACCGCUGGCGGCGUGCUUAACACAUGCAAGUCGCACGAGAAGUGACGACGGCAACCUUCGGGCGGAAGGCUUUAUUUCGAGUGGCGGACGGGUGAGUAACGCGUGGGUAACCUGCCUCAUACAGGGGGAUAACAGUUGGAAACGACUGUUAAUACCGCAUAAGACCACAGCACCGCAUGGUGCGGGGGUAAAAACUCCGGUGGUAUGAGAUGGACCCGCGUUCGAUUAGCCAGUUGGCGGGGUAACGGCCCACCAAAGCGACGAUCGAUAGCCGAUCUGAGAGGAUGACCGGCCACAUUGGGACUGAGACACGGCCCAAACUCCUACGGGAGGCAGCAGUGGGGAAUAUUGCACAAUGGGGGAAACCCUGAUGCAGCGACGCCGCGUGAGUGAAGAAGUAUUUCGGUAUGUAAAGCUCUAUCAGCAGGGAAGAAAAUGACGGUACCUGAGUAAGAAGCCCCGGCUAACUACGUG
RNAcentral lists this ribosomal RNA (476 nucleotides) under uncultured bacterium. Its description in RNAcentral is "partial 16S ribosomal RNA". It matches the Rfam family "Bacterial small subunit ribosomal RNA", at positions 30 to 507 of the family's 1533-position model. The record is from RNAcentral.